UGAGGAAUCUUCCGCAAUGGACGAAAGUCUGACGGAGCAACGCCGCGUGCAGGAUGACGGCCUUCGGGUUGUAAACUGCUUUUAUAUGGGAAGAUUGUGACGGUACCAUAUGAAUAAGGACCGGCUAACUACGUGCCAGCAGCCGCGGUAAUACGUAGGGUCCAAGCGUUAUCCGGAAUCACUGGGCGUAAAGAGUGCGUAGGCGGGUAUUUAAGUGUAAUGCGAAAUUCUGGGGCUCAACCCCAUGAACUGUAUUGCAUACUGGAUACCUAGAGGAUAUGAGAGGCAAGUGGAAUUACCGGUGUAGCAGUGAAAUGCGUAGAUAUCGGUAGGAACACCAAUGGCGAAGGCAGCUUGCUGGCAUAUUUCUGACGCUAAGGCACGAAAGCGUGGGGAGCGAACAG
This 404-nucleotide ribosomal RNA is filed under the name uncultured bacterium. RNAcentral describes it as "bacterial SSU rRNA". It matches the Rfam family "Bacterial small subunit ribosomal RNA", at positions 355 to 775 of the family's 1533-position model. The record is from RNAcentral.